This 490-nucleotide ribosomal RNA is filed under the name uncultured bacterium. Its description in RNAcentral is "partial 16S ribosomal RNA". It matches the Rfam family "Bacterial small subunit ribosomal RNA", at positions 28 to 507 of the family's 1533-position model. The record is from RNAcentral.
GAUGAACGCUAGCUACAGGCUUAACACAUGCAAGUCGAGGGGAAACGAUGAGAGAGCUUGCUCUCUUAGGCGUCGACCGGCGCACGGGUGAGUAACGCGUAUCCAACCUACCCAUUACAGGGGGAUAACCUUGCGAAAGUAAGACUAAUACCCCAUGGCAUUUUAUGGUGGCAUCAUUAUAGGAUUAAAGAUUUAUUGGUAAUGGAUGGGGAUGCGUCUGAUUAGCUUGUUGGCGGGGUAACGGCCCACCAAGGCAACGAUCAGUAGGGGUUCUGAGAGGAAGGUCCCCCACAUUGGAACUGAGACACGGUCCAAACUCCUACGGGAGGCAGCAGUGAGGAAUAUUGGUCAAUGGGCGAGAGCUUGAACCAGCCAAGUAGCGUGCAGGAUGACGGCCCUAUAGGUUGUAAACUGCUUUUAUAGGGGAAUAAAGUGAGCUACGUGUAGUUUAUUGCAUGUACCCUAUGAAUAAGGACCGGCUAAUUCCGUG